CACAGUAACAAACGAAAAAGGAAUAUAUACACGCAUAAUCAUCACAAAGGACCCACAUCAUCAUAGCCAUUCUCUUGUACACAUACUCCUUCAUUAAUGAGAGCACAGGGUGGAUUUUUUAUUUUUUAUUUUUUUGGGGGGGAGUGGUUGCCUCACUUCAUCAUCUGAAGGAACACUCCAUUUCUUAGAAUUGGUACGUAAAACACCACUCAACCUUACCACAAAAUGCAUGACCCUCACCUCAAUUUUUCCAUGGUUUCUUAGGAGGGGGUAGACGCACACAAAGAGUAACAUACAUACACGCACAAACCAGUGAAAGGAAGGGGCCGGAUUUUCCAUUUUUAGGGAGAUAUUGGAAUAGAGAGGAAGAGAGAUCGGAGAAGACAAAUCGAGAGAGUGUUAGGUAGAGAAAAGAGAUGUGAGGGAGAUAGCAAAAAGGGGGAAGUAAUCGAAAAUGGGCAAACUCGGCCAGAAAACGUUGGGACUCGCCAGAAUCCAUCUUGAGUCAUCAUUUUUUUUGCCACCGCCUGAGCUCACAGGAUCGCAGGCUACACAGAUUUUGUUCUUAUGUUGACUGGGUUUUGAGUUAAUCUAUUCUCGUGGUUCAUUUUGGAUAUAGGAUUUCGGGGUCUUCAUGAUUAAGUGGUCAAUAUUCGUGGAUUGGAACUCUGUUCAUCUCAAUCCGUCCAUCAUUGUCAAUAUCGAAGUCGAAAUUCAAUUUGGAGAUUCGUGUUGAGGUUCCGGUUUGAGGAUUUUGAUUUCGAAUUUCUUUAUUAUCAACAAGGACAUGUUUCAUUGAGAUUUUGAGACGUUAUUGGAUAAUUGAAGAAUGUGCUAAUCAUGUGGUUAAAAAUAGAUUUGGGGUGGAAUCAAAAGUUGAUAAAAGUUGUGUAGUUAAAUUUUGGUCGGUUGUCGUUUUAUUCAAUUCGGGAUAUACAUGAAUGUGAUCAAGCUCAGCUAGGUAAACAUAGGUCGGGUAGGCGAAUUUAGGGAUUGUGGAUUGAUGGAAUACUUGAGUUGUGUGAUUGAAUGGUUUUUGACUAUAUUGCUUUGGAAUCACUUGUAUCAUUUGGUUGGGGAAUGUCCCGAAGUACUUGUAUUAUUUUAUCCGGGGAAUGCCCCGGGGUAUUUUUGUAUCCGAAGGAUGUUCGUGAUGAAGGCCCAAGGCAGAGGGUAAAACGUCGGAGCAUAGUUUAGUAUAAGAUUUAUAUUUUUUGGAUUUUUUUACUUUGGACUGUAUAAUUCGACUGAACAUUAUAUUUUGGAUUAUGAUUUGGUUUAUGCUUGUUUGCUUGA
Long non-coding RNA from Capsicum annuum, 1296 nucleotides. RefSeq lists it as uncharacterized. The transcript has 2 exons. NCBI's taxonomy places the organism in Eukaryota, Viridiplantae, Streptophyta, Magnoliopsida, Solanales, Solanaceae. The record is from RefSeq and is a predicted model, not a curated record.